GAUAUUCGACGUCAUAAACACCAUCAAGUUUGGUGUUUAUGACGUCGACAUUCGACGUCAUAAACACCAUCAAAUUUCGUGUUUAUGUCGUCGAAUAUCGACGUCAUAAACACGAUCAACUUUGGUGUUUAUGACGUCGAUAUUCGACGUCAUAAACACCAUCACGUUUGGUGUUUAUGACGUCGAUAUUCGACGUCAUAAACACCAUCAAGUUUGGUGUUUAUGACGUCGACAUUC
Molecule: non-coding RNA, 237 nt
Organism: Paramuricea clavata
Lineage: Eukaryota; Metazoa; Cnidaria; Anthozoa; Malacalcyonacea; Plexauridae
Source: the annotation of a GenBank genome assembly